Molecule: transfer RNA, 73 nt
Filed under: Microcaldota archaeon
Lineage: Archaea; Nanobdellati; Microcaldota
Also listed under: 1 other name
Description: tRNA-Pro
Rfam family: tRNA
About the family: Transfer RNA (tRNA) molecules are approximately 80 nucleotides in length. Their secondary structure includes four short double-helical elements and three loops (D, anti-codon, and T loops). Further hydrogen bonds mediate the characteristic L-shaped molecular structure. tRNAs have two regions of fundamental functional importance: the anti-codon, which is responsible for specific mRNA codon recognition, and the 3' end, to which the tRNAs corresponding amino acid is attached (by aminoacyl-tRNA synthetases). tRNAs cope with the degeneracy of the genetic code in two manners: having more than one tRNA (with a specific anti-codon) for a particular amino acid; and 'wobble' base-pairing, i.e. permitting non-standard base-pairing at the 3rd anti-codon position.
Source: RNAcentral
GGGGCCGUGGGGUAGCCUGGCAUCCUGCCAGCCUGGGGGGCUGGCGACCUGAGUUCGAAUCUCGGCGGCCCCA